RNAcentral lists this unclassified non-coding RNA (200 nucleotides) under Laccaria sp. RNAcentral's name for it is "partial internal transcribed spacer 2". Lineage: Eukaryota; Fungi; Basidiomycota; Agaricomycetes; Agaricales; Hydnangiaceae. The record is from RNAcentral.
UUAAGUUCAGCGGGUAGUCCUACCUGAUUUGAGGUCAAAUUGUCAAAAUUGUCCAAGUCAAUGAACGAUUAGAAGCUGAACUUCAUAAAGCUGCUUCACAUCCACGGCGUAGAUAAUUAUCACACCAAUAGACGGUCCACAAAAGUUCCGCUAAUCCAUUUAAGGGGAGCUGACUAUCUGAGAAGCCAGCAAAAUAGACC